RNAcentral lists this long non-coding RNA (271 nucleotides) under Ananas comosus (pineapple). RNAcentral describes it as "long non-coding RNA (ACOM_LNC008339)". The record is from RNAcentral. Lineage: Eukaryota; Viridiplantae; Streptophyta; Magnoliopsida; Poales; Bromeliaceae.
AAUUAAUUCAUCGAAUUGUUUGAUCUGUUGGAUCAUAUUCAUCAACACUUCUGUGAGACAGCCGUUGUAUUCUAAAAAUUUAAGCUAUUAAAGAACGGUAUUUAUAUAUUUUUAUAUUUAACAUUUUUCCUCACGUCUGGCUCGAUAUUAUAGGAGACAAUCGUUGUACUCUAAAAAUUUAAGCUGUUAGAGAACAGUAUUUAUAUGUUUUUAUAAUUAAUAACUUCUUAAGAAAUUAAGUUACUAUCUCUAAUAAUGUUCAAAAUUUCAC